UAAUGCUUGGGAAUCUGGCUUAUGGAGGGGGAUAACUACGGGAAACUGUAGCUAAUACCGCGUAGUAUCGAGAGAUUAAAGUGUGGGACCUUCGGGCCACAUGCCAUAGGAUGAGCCCAAGUGGGAUUAGGUAGUUGGUGAGGUAAAGGCUCACCAAGCCGACGAUCUCUAGCUGGUCUGAGAGGAUGACCAGCCACACUGGGACUGAGACACGGCCCAG
RNAcentral lists this ribosomal RNA (220 nucleotides) under uncultured bacterium. RNAcentral's name for it is "partial 16S ribosomal RNA". It matches the Rfam family "Bacterial small subunit ribosomal RNA", at positions 111 to 334 of the family's 1533-position model. The record is from RNAcentral.